AACACAACAUGCUUAUUCUGCCCCAUCUACUGUUUUCACCCUGCAAAUUUAUGAGGCUCUAUUAAUCUUCUGCCCUGCUGACUCUCUCUGUUGCAAAGUGUCAGCAGACUUUCGUACCUUGCUAAUGUACAAAGUGCUUCCUAUGAGUAAUAUCAGCAUUUUGCCUUUUAAUUGCACAUAUAAUUUUUAGGUCUUACAGCUAAUAAGGGAAUUGAGACCACAGUUCAUCAUUGUCUGGAAUGGUACUCCAGGGGUGUGGGGACUGUAGAAGCUCAGAGAAUAUACUUGUCCUCAUUCCAAGCAAUACUUUCUCUCAUUAUAACAGCCCCAUUCACACCAGUAUACUUACAGCCCAUUCUUCACUGGAUGCAAGAUGGGAAAAGCAAGGAGGUGACAGUGCAUGAAGUUCCUCAUGAAGGAUUUCUACUACAUUUCCAGCCAAAUUUCUCGUCUAAGGAUGAGAUGUCAACACUGUUUAUGAAUGACAGCAGUAGUGUAUGGAAGGCCACUGCCAAACAGUUUUAAGGUGCCAUUAUUUGUCUCCCCUCAAUGAAGAGUGCUAUUCGGACUGCAAGUGUUAACAUUGCCUUACCUCUCCAGCUAAAAAUAAAAUGAUUUCUG
RNAcentral lists this long non-coding RNA (621 nucleotides) under Numida meleagris (helmeted guineafowl). Its description in RNAcentral is "lncRNA (ENSNMEG00000020455.1)". The record is from RNAcentral. Lineage: Eukaryota; Metazoa; Chordata; Aves; Galliformes; Numididae.